ACAAAACUCACAUUGUAUUACAUUGUGCACAUGCUUAUUGGGUUGCUUAAUUUUAAUAAGGUUACUAACUUGCUCCUUUGGAUUUUUUGUUUCAGAAAAUUUCCGAGCUCUUUGUACAGAGGUUGCAUGAUGAAAAUGAAGGGUGUUCGAUCUAUUAACAGAGAAAGCAUCUUUUUGGCUGCUGCACCACAGGUUAUGAUUGAAGAUAUCAGGAAGCAGAUUAAGCAACUAUAAACCUACAAGGUGCAGGAGAUUGAAUUACUUGAGUAGAAUUGUUGAACUGUAAUUUGUUAUACUUUAGAAAUUUGUUUGCUUAUGUAU
Long non-coding RNA from Rosa chinensis, 321 nucleotides. RefSeq lists it as uncharacterized. The transcript has 3 exons. The record is from RefSeq and is a predicted model, not a curated record. NCBI's taxonomy places the organism in Eukaryota, Viridiplantae, Streptophyta, Magnoliopsida, Rosales, Rosaceae.